RNAcentral lists this ribosomal RNA (474 nucleotides) under uncultured bacterium. RNAcentral describes it as "bacterial SSU rRNA". It matches the Rfam family "Bacterial small subunit ribosomal RNA", at positions 28 to 507 of the family's 1533-position model. The record is from RNAcentral.
GACGAACGCUGGCGGCGUGCCUAAACAUGCAAGUCGAGCGGGGUUGAGGCGAGAGGUAACUCGAACUUCUACCUAGCGGCGGACGGGUGAGUAACGCGUGGGCAACCUGCCUCAAGGUUUGGGAUAACAGCCCGAAAGGGCUGCUAAUACCGGAUAUGCCUAUGGCCUCGCAUGGGGCUAUGAGCAAAGGGGAAACCCGCCUUGAGAUGGGCCCGCGUCCCAUCAGCUAGUUGGUGAGGUAACAGCUCACCAAGGCGACGACGGGUAGCCGGCCUGAGAGGGUGACCGGCCACACUGGGACUGAGACACGGCCCAGACUCCUACGGGGGGCAGCAGUGGGGGAUCUUGCACAAUGGGCGAAAGCCUGAUGCAGCGACGCCGCGUGAGCGAAGAAGGCCUUCGGGUUGUAAAGCUCUGUCUGGAGGGACGAACAAAAUGACGGUACCUCCGGAGGAAGCCACGGCUAACUACGUG